GGAUGAACGCUGGCGGCGUGCCUAAUACAUGCAAGUCGAGCGAACGGACGAGAAGCUUGCUUCUCUGAUGUUAGCGGCGGACGGGUGAGUGACACGUGGAUAACCUACCUAUAAGACUGGGAUAACUUCGGGAAACCGUAGCUAAUACCGGAUAAUAUUUUGAACCGCAUGGUUCAAAAGUGAAAGACGGUCUUGCUGUCACUUAUAGAUGGAUCCGCGCUGCAUUAGCUAGUUGGUAAGGUAACGGCUUACCAAGGCAACGAUGCAUAGCCGACCUGAGAGGGUGAUCGGCCACACUGGAACUGAGACACGGUCCAGACUCCUACGGGAGGCAGCAGUAGGGAAUCUUCCGCAAUGGGCGAAAGCCUGACGGAGCAACGCCGCGUGAGUGAUGAAGGUCUUCGGAUCGUAAAACUCUGUUAUUAGGGAAGAACAUAUGUGUAAGUAACUGUGCACAUCUUGACGGUACCUAAUCAGAAAGCCACGGCUAACUACGU
RNAcentral lists this ribosomal RNA (497 nucleotides) under uncultured bacterium. Its description in RNAcentral is "partial 16S ribosomal RNA". It matches the Rfam family "Bacterial small subunit ribosomal RNA", at positions 27 to 506 of the family's 1533-position model. The record is from RNAcentral.